RNAcentral lists this ribosomal RNA (441 nucleotides) under uncultured bacterium. Its description in RNAcentral is "bacterial SSU rRNA". It matches the Rfam family "Bacterial small subunit ribosomal RNA", at positions 360 to 793 of the family's 1533-position model. The record is from RNAcentral.
AAUAUUGCACAAUGGGCGCAAGCCUGAUGCAGCCAUGCCGCGUGUAUGAAGAAGGCCUUCGGGUUGUAAAGUACUUUCAGCAGUGAGGAAGGUGGAUAUGUUAAUAGCAUAUUCAUUUGACGUUAGCUGCAGAAGAAGCACCGGCUAACUCCGUGCCAGCAGCCGCGGUAAUACGGAGGGUGCGAGCGUUAAUCGGAAUUACUGGGCGUAAAGCGCAUGCAGGUGGUUUGUUAAGUCAGAUGUGAAAGCCCCGGGGCUCAACCUCGGAAUUGCAUUUGAAACUGGCAAACUAGAGUACUGUAGAGGGGGUAGAAUUUCAGGUGUAGCGGUGAAAUGCGUAGAGAUCUGAAGGAAUACCGGUGGCGAAGGCGGCCCCCUGGACAGAUACUGACACUCAGAUGCGAAAGCGUGGGGAGCAAACAGGAUUAGAUACCCUGGUAG